UUUUUUUUUUUUUUUUUUAAUGAAUGGAGGGCGGCGGCGACUGCUGCAGCUGGGCCAGCUGCGCGGGCUGCACCCCCUCCCAGCCUGCGAGAGGAGGGCUUGGACUGUCAGAUUACAUUUCUAAGCUUCCAGAAGAGCAACACAUAGACACGGGAAGUCAGAGCCUUUGAACUCAAAUGCCAUCCCCAUCACCCACCUCCACCACCAGCAGUACCACCGAAUGGCACUUUGGACAACUUUUCCCUCUCAUGUGAAUUUUGUCAUUUCUUACAUCAAUUGGAACCAGCACCUCUCAAAUUCAUCUUCUAAAACCCAGAAAAUUGUGUGGAACACAUGAGGACUGAAAGGAAGCUGUGAGGCCGAGAAAUGGAAGGAAACGGCUCAGGUGAUAUAGCCAGAGCAGAAGGACCCAAGCCCCUUAUCAAGGCUUGUUCUCAAGGGGAAAAUGCAGCCCUGGGGCUGCCCUUCACUCGGGUCUUUUGGAUGGGACUUCUGAGCUCUUUCCUGAUGGUAAUGUUUGGACCUCUCCAACCCAGUUCUUCCUAGCACCCUUGCUUUUCCAUCCUUGGAGGCCUCAGGUCAGACCCCUCAGAGAGGUGUCCCUACAGAAAGCCGCUGUUCCAGAAUGUGACCCAUUAAAAAACUCAGCACUUACAGAUGUGAAAUAAUCCUGUUCAUUCAUUUAUUUUUGAGAAUCUAAGCCCCCUGUGGGCAGGAACCGUAUCUAUCUUGUUCCUGCGGUGCGGGGGCUUAGAGUGGUGACCAGCACUUAGUAAAACAUACUCAUUAAAUGACUGAAUGAACGAAAUCCCAGGAGGGCAGUUGAGUAUUUUUUUAUUAUUAUUUUUCUGGUCCUGACCAUCUGAUUCUCAUUACUUCUGCAGCUCGGGAAGUCUCUCUCUGCUUUGGCGUUUUAUAAACCUCCUGUGCGUACAUCGACAUUUUAACCGUAAAUCCGCAGAGUUCUGGGACAG
Cercocebus atys (sooty mangabey) is the source of this 974-nucleotide long non-coding RNA. RefSeq lists it as uncharacterized. NCBI's taxonomy places the organism in Eukaryota, Metazoa, Chordata, Mammalia, Primates, Cercopithecidae. The transcript has 3 exons. The record is from RefSeq and is a predicted model, not a curated record.